GCCUUCGAACUGGGGCGUGGCUAAAAGAGUUUCAUUUUCUGUUUCUCUUAGCACAACGAAUGAUCGGCAGUCUUAACGUGGGAUAAAGAUUUUCAGUGAUUUUUUUUUUUACUAGCGUUCCUGACUACCGAUUCUUUUUUAACGAAACAAACAUAAACCUGACAUGAUGAAGACACAGAUGUUGGUACUUGUUGCAUGUGUUACUACUGCGUCUGUCAAAGCAGACGCGAGAUGUGACCCGGACAUUCCUUCUCGACCUCUACCAACCCUUCCUAUAACGGAUCACAGUUCAAGGACUUUCAAUGUCAGAUGCCCAGAGGGAGAGUUCUCAAGCUUGGGGAAGUGCUUACCUUGUGAGGCAGGGACAUUCAGAACUAAAGCGAUGGCCGCACUGGAUUAUCCGACUUGUCUUGCGUGCCAAGAAGCAGACACAAACCUGCACGAGGUGGUUAUCACGCCAUGCAAUAGGACCAGGGACUCUCAGAUUAUGUGUGAAAAUGGCUACUAUCGUAAUGAGACUCCCGAGAAACCGUGUCAUUCGGAAUGUAAAAUCUGUUCCGUUUGCGGAUUGGGUACAGAGAUGUUCCGCGACAAACUAGUGCGUAAUUGCAGUGAUACCCAGGACACGUUGUGCUGUGACAAAAAAUACAUCGCAGACGAACUGGGCAGACGCUGUGUUGAGAUGACCUCAGCUAGACCUACCACCUCCACAAGGCUGGCCGAAGUUAAGUCUACAGCCAGAAGCGCCAUUGCUACAACAAAAGAAGCAUCAAUAGGCCUACAAUCGCGAUUUCGCCAAAAUGAAAACACUGUCAAAGAUUGCGUUGUACACUUACAAAGCUCGGUAACUCUAGUUAUUUUGUUAUCGGCCCUUGCUUGCUAAUUGGCGUAUUAAUAGUAAUUGCUCAGUGAUAGUGUACACAAGGGAAACGCUAGUCAUUACCAAAAAAUUUAUCAAUGGUGUAGGCAUAAUUUUUUGUAAUUUUUUAUUAAGAAGCCGCACGAACUUAAUUGUUUAUCCAUUUAUUUAUUUUGCGCUUAGUUGAAUAGAAAUAGUUGUAUCAGACGUCCAUAAUUUUAAAUUAUUUAUUAUUAUUUAUUAUCAAUUAUGUCCCUAAGAAAUGGCAAAAAAACAACGAAAUUUUAGUUUAUAAUUAUAUUUCCCUUGUUAGUAGGUGAUGCAGUAUACGUCACUAUGGCAGGGGUUCUCAACCUGUGGGUCGCGACCCCCUACGGGGUCGAUUGACGAUUUGCCAGGGGUCGCUUAAGACCAUCGAAAAUAUGUAUUGUUAUUGUCUACUCUUCUAUUGAUGUAUGUGUUUGUUGGGGGAUGGGGGUCGCGGCAGAGUGGGGGAAUAUAAAAAGGGGUCGCCGAGCUUAAAAGGUUGAGAACCGCUGCACUAUAGCGAGGGUAGACUGAACCAAAAGUCACAAAGCCAGUUUGCGUUAAAUUUUGUUGUUAGUUCGAGGAAUGGUUAUGCUCAUUGAACGCCCUCAAACCAUAGCUUUGUAAAUACACUCCAAUCAUCAUUGGCUUCCUUCAGUCGUAGAAACGACUAUGGUCCACCUCAGAGCGAGUGAGAUGAAAGCCUGGGCAUUGUUUAGGGUCGGAACGAUGUCGCCCACCACAGCAGUUCCACCCUCUCUCUCAGCGAUGCAGAUGUGACCAAAAGAACGGAGUAUCCAAUACACUAAACAUACAUAUAAGAAACAUUGCUGAACUAGAGUGCUAAUAAAAUACUCUGAAAGACACAAAGAUAAAGGCACAUUCCUCGUCCCAUAUGCUAGGACAAAUUUGUACAAAUAUUCCUUCUUCCCUAGCGCUAUUAGAGCAUGGAAUGGGUUGCCUGAGCUAGCCAGGAAAACCAGUGACUUGGCAGAGAUUUAAGUCAUUGGUUAAUAUGCAUGACUAAAUGCAUGACGCGUAGGACGUAAUCAUCUUCUUUUUUUGAAGUAACGUCUGUAUUAUAUAAGAUAAGAUAAGAUAAGUAAUACAACUACAUAUUGCGGUCACGUGGUCUUCAUCAGCUACAAAUUACGUAUAUACUCACCUUAGCAAUGUUGUUUGGGGGUUGGAGUUGGGAAGGCAUACGUUCCACCCCUUUUUCCUGUAAUUAAGUCAGACCGCACUGUUUCCUGUCGAUUUCCCGCGCUUCGCUUUUGCACCAGCGAGCCUCAUUGCUGCCUAGACAAAGAGAUGGAUGAACUAUAAUCCUAUUUUUGUGUUAAUUGUUACAGACUUACAUCAUUAAGACCUACCUGUUUCAAAAUGUUUUUAGAUUAGUUUGUCAUUCUUGCUCUCGUGUUUAUUUUGUUUAUGUUAUUACAGCGCCUUUGAGCCUACAUUUUCUAAUUUUGUUAAAAGCGCUCUAUAAAUGAAAUUAUUAUUAAUUAAAUUAUUAUUAUUAUUUAUUAACUCAUUCUGUCUGGUAAAAAGUUUGUACACGUUAUUUCUCCAAUUACACCGAAUCUCGGAUCAAGCUGAAAUUUUGCACAAUUAUUUCUUUUACCUGUCAGUACAACAAUCAAUUUUUUUUUUAAAUUACCCAUUACUUUAUUAACUAUUGGUAAUUAAUUAGUAAGUUUGGUAUCUCGAACAAGGGAAAGAAAUUGUACUUGACUGAAGUGGUGGUAUAAGCUGAAUUUUUAAUCACACAGAUUUCUUAUUGUUAGUCUAGAGACUAGAUCUAUUACAAACUUAAUUACAUGACUGAACCAAACGAAUCGAUACACUUAAUAUGAGCUAUGUUUGUGAAAAAAAAAUGUUUGUGUUUGUAUUUUGCUUGUUUACCUUUUUUGUUUGUUUGUAGCUGAUGAAGGCCCCGUUUCCUAUAUGUGUGUUAAUGGUACAGCCGUUCAACCCUGCACAGGGGCGCAUGUAAAAAGGGGGAAGCGAGUCUGAGUUACUACCUUGGGAACCUUACAAGAAAGGGGUCCCCAAAAUAGAAAUUAUACAUAUAUAUAACAAUAACUCAUUUUAUUUAUUUAUUUAUUUAUUGCUUUAUACAUAUUUGUUCGCAUUAACUUUUAAAGUUCUGAUAUAACAAUAAAUCAAACUAUAAAAUCUCUUAUUUAACUAAGAGAUCUACAGAGCUAAAUAAUCUUUGAUCUAUGCACAUUUGUGUACACCUAUAAUCUCUGUUUAAGCCAGACAUGUAAAAUAAUAAAAUCUCUGAUAUGUGAAGAGAUCUCUCUAUAAAAUCUCUGAUAUGUGAAGAGAUCUCUCUAUAAAAUCUCUGAUAUGUCAAGAGAUCUCUCUAUAAAAUCUCUGAUAUGUGAAGAGAUCUCUCUAUAAAAUCUCUGAUAUGUGAAAAGAUCUCUCUAUAACAUCUCUGGCAUGUGAAGAGAUCUCUCUAUAAAAUCUCUGAUAUGUGAAGAGAUCUCUCUAUAACAUCUCUGGUAUGUGAAGAGAUCUCUCUAUAAAAUCUCUGAUAUGUCAAGAGAUCUCUCUAUAAAAUCUCUGAUAUGUGAAGAGAUCUCUCUAUAACAUCUCUGAUAUGUGAAGAGAUCUCUCUAUAACAUCUCUGGUAUGUGAAGAGAUCUCUCUAUAAAAUCUCUGAUAUGUCAAGAGAUCUCUCUAUAAAAUCUCUGAUAUGUCAAGAGAUCUCUCUAUAAAAUCUCUGAUAUGUCAAGAGAUCUCUCUAUAAAAUCUCUGAUAUGUCAAGAGCUCUCUAUAAAAUCUCUGAUAUGUGAAGAGAUCUCUCUAUAAAAUCUCUGAUAUGUCAAGAGAUCUCUCUAUAAAAUCUCUGAUAUGUCAAGAGCUCUCUAUAAAAUCUCUGAUAUGUGAAGAGAUCUCUCUAUAACAUUGAUAUGUGAAAAGAUCUCUCUAUAACAUCUCUGAUAUGUGAAGAGAUCUCUCUAUAAUAUCUCUGAUACGUGAAGAGAUUUCUAUAAAAUCUCUGAUAUGUCAAGAGAUUUCUCUAUAAAAUCUCUGAUUUUAACAAGAUAUUACCUUUACAGUGCCUUGAGGCUAUAUUAUUAUUAUUAACAGCGCUUUAGACAUAAAAUUAUUCUUAUUAUUUGCCUUCCGCUGCGUAUAAGUAUGCGGGAAAAGAUAUUCCUGUCUCAUCUAUUCAAGCCAAACUUGAUCAAAUUUCCUUUAGUUCAUUACAUGAAAGUGAAGCUUCCUUUUCGCGAUUGUACAGAGCCGACAGUGAAAUGUUUCUUCCAUUCUUCAGAGGCAUUGUUGACUUUAUAAUAUUUCCUGUUAUUGUAGCUCAAAAAUACUUUUAAAAACAUAGAAUCGAUUUUUAAACUACUACAACUAGUUUGUUAUAGAAACUCCAUUUUGAUUUGUUUUGUUGUUUUAUAUUUAUGCCAAAUUUACAUUCCAUUUUUUUUUAAACAUUUUUUAUUAUGAUUCUGUAACAAUUCUUUCUAAAUCUUGUUAUUGAAUUAGGAUUUGGAAGUGAUAAAAAAAAAACAGUGUAUGUGUUCAACAAAAAAAAAAACAAAUGUGUUCAACUGUCUGCUUGUGUACCAAAAUAAAAAACAGUGUAUGUGUUCAACUGCCUGCUUGUGUACCCAAAUAAAAAGUAAAAUAGGUACCCUUUCAGACCUCGUUAUCUAUUGGGCAUAUUUGGAACGGGGCGUUUACUACCCCCAACUAUUAUCAGGUACCCAUUGACGCUGGGUGGCGUCAGGGGCGCCUUAAAAAUCCCGAAGUUCGAGAUCCCAGUCUUCACCGGAAUUUGAAUCCGAGACCCCUUCGGAACUUCUGAAGCAACGCACUUUGCUGCCUAGCAACCACGCCCCCACCCCCACCCCCCAACGUGCAAAUGUUGCUGGGUGAUUAUAGAUUGAGACGAGAACAUUAAGAAUCCUUUCUGGUUAUGGCGCAGUAAUGUUUUAACUUUCACUUUGACUGAUCUGAAGACUCGAUCCAGAAAUAUUGGUUAUUUGUGCGUAUUUAUUGAUUGGAAGCGUUAUUCUACACUGAAUGCUCAAUAGAAGUAUUGUAAAGUAUUUGACUAUAAUUAGAGCAUACAAUACUUAAAACUACAAGCCUAAUAACUGACCAUACAAUUAUAUCCCCUGGCUAUUGCUUAUAUCGUGUAAUGUUAAGACACUUCAAUAACCAUGCCCUAUACUUACAAGAAGCUACUUACAUUUUUAUAUUGUAUAACUUUAAUAUCUUUUGCUGUAACACCUAUAUCUAAAAUUUACACAGAUCGUCCAUAGUGUUAAUUAAUUUUUCUCAAGUCUAAGUUUAAUAUUCAAACUUUUUGUUGAGAAUUUUUUGGAAUGUUUUUUAUAGCGUCAUUUCUACUAGAUCAGCCAAAAAUAAUUUACUUUUAUAUUGAAUUUUGAUGCUAAUAUUUACCAUGGCCAUGUUGCUGUUAAUCAAUCAUUGCUUGCUUACUUUUACCAUACAAAUGAUAUUUUAACGUUAUUUGUGUUCAUUCUAAAAAUGCACUACUGCAUCCACAUUUUAAGGUUUAUUGCAUAUCAUUUGAUGUGUAUCAUGCACUGCUAAAAUUGAAUUGUAAAGAUUAAUUACUCUAUCCUGCUUAUCAGUGGCGUCACUAGGGUCGGUGUCACCCGGUGUGGUCUGCACCCUUUAGUGAAGCCACUGCUGCUUCUUUAUACGAGACGAAUGUAUUGUUACUGUAAUAUUGUUUCAUUUCAUACAUGUCGGAGAAAAUAUAAACCACAGGCAUAUACAUAGGUCUGUGAUAUAAACGUUUAGCUUUUGGGCUGCAUCUGGUGCACAAGGUAAUGGAGGCGCUGAUAAGCCUUGCUUUUUAAAACGUAUAUGAUAAUGUCUGUGCACUUUUUAGCACUGGAGAAUCAAAAAUUUUUUUAAAGCGCUUCCGUUAGCGCACAAAUUCGUGUAAAUAUGGAGAAAAUACUAUACUUUCAUUCGAGGACUUCAAAACUUAAAAAACAACAACAAACGGGCAAUUAACUUGAGGUAAUAGAAGAGAUUUUAUAUCCAGGUGAGUCUACAUUCGUGGUUUGUAACAGUGAUUCACAAGUUAUGGUGAAAAUCUCCAGUGAAUAUUAUAUAAAUUAUAUUACGUUUAAACGUAAAUUUGAUGCUAAUGUUAUGUGUACAAUUUGACCAUUUGGAAAUAUUUGUAUCUAAGAAUGGACGUUGUACAGGAGAAGUUAAGAUUAGGGCAUUAUUAGCAUUUGUUGGGCGUGUUCUAUUCCAUGUUCAAUUUUAUUUGUUUAAGUAUUAGAUAUUUAUCUGUGAAGUAUCAGGAACUAUUUAUAACUGUAGUGUUUUCCUCUGCUUACUUUUAGGGUUAUGAAGGAAAUGGCAUUUGAACCAUCUUUUUGUGUUUUUUUUUUUUUUUUUGGUUGUGACGUUGGUGCUCAGAUUAAUAUUAGUAUUUGUGUAAAUCAUGAAAUGACCACCAUAUAAAAAUAUUAGGAUUAACUAGGUACUCUGAAUGUCGCAUGUAUAUUAGAAUUAUCUUGCAUUAACAUUUAACUGUGGGGGUGAUAAGGGUGAAAUGGUUUCCACAGAAGUUUUAUUUUAUAUUUUUAUAUUUAUUAAAGAAAGAAAUUUUAGUAACAAAUAUGUACAGAAAAAUUUUAUUAGAAUUUGUGCAUGAUUUUUUAAUUGGCAUGUGUUCUGAAGGAAUGAUAAAUAAAGAGUAUUUUGGAAAUUU
This is a long non-coding RNA of Biomphalaria glabrata, 6620 nucleotides long. RefSeq lists it as uncharacterized. The transcript is spliced from 3 exons. Lineage: Eukaryota; Metazoa; Mollusca; Gastropoda; Planorbidae. The record is from RefSeq and is a predicted model, not a curated record.